This is a long non-coding RNA of Drosophila yakuba, 7342 nucleotides long. RefSeq lists it as uncharacterized. The transcript is spliced from 4 exons. NCBI's taxonomy places the organism in Eukaryota, Metazoa, Arthropoda, Insecta, Diptera, Drosophilidae. The record is from RefSeq and is a predicted model, not a curated record.
CUUUCACUCGUCGGCGUGCGCGCGCUCUCUGCUGACUUUGAGUGAUUUCGCAUUGAGAGGAGCUUUUCGAUUGAAUUUAUUGCAUUUUGCAACGUAAUUCCGCAAGUUCUACAAAGUUCUGCUUUGACAUUUGGCUAUUUCAUCACGGUUUGUUUAUACUCUAUGGUAUGCGGUGCAAUUAACCGCUCUCUGCCUCUCUCUCUAUCGCUGCCUCACGCGCUCACUCGCUCUCUCGCGUGAUUGCUUCAGUUUGCCGGUUUUGCCGGUUAAGUGAAAAAGAGUUGAGAGCGGUGAAUUUUUGAGUGGUGUUUACAAUAAUUGAGCGCACGCCGGGUGGAAAUUGAGACAAUCCGCAAAUUGCAUCACUCGGCAAAUAAAAACAUAAACAAUUAACAAGAACAGACUCGAAAGGUUCUUGUAAAAUUAAUAGCAAUACGAAUCCAAAUAAACAAAUGUGUAUUUGAUUGGAAAUCAAAAAAAGUUUGAUUCAUUAAUUUAAUUUACAUACGAAUGUAUAAAAUUAUAGCAUUCAAAAUUAUACAAUAUACACAAUAUAGUUUUUAACAAGUUUGUAUUCGUUUAUUAAAAAGUUCACAUUCGAAAGUAGAUGAGUAUUUGUACACACGUACAUACAGAUAUACAUAUGUACAUACUCAGAAGAAAUGUUAGGAUAGUCCUUGGAAAAAUGUUGACUUGUCACAAUGCAAUAAAAAAGUAAUACCUUACUUACACGAAUAAAUGUUAAUUGACAUAUGUACAAAUGUUUAACUGCAGGUUUCAAUUGCUUUUCUUUGGCAUUAUUUGGGAUUCUUCUUCGCCGCAUAAAUGUUGCCUAUUUUUAAAUGGAUUUCUUCUUUGUUGUGUUACGUUUUGCUUAGUUUCUGCGAGAAGUUCUUUAUUCCUUCCCGCUCUUUUUAGCCCCUUACACUGCUUCAUUUUCUCCUUACCCUUUCCUUUAUCUAUUUACCCUACCUACCGAAGUUCCUUAUGUGCGUGUGUGCAAUUUAAGCUCUUUGUCACUUUUUGUCUGCCGCGCUCUCGCUCUUUCCACUUUAACCAGAAACAAACCAUCAUCUUGCUCUCUCUUUCUGCAACUUCAGUUUCAGUUUUGUCAAGUUGAUUGAACUUGUGAACUUUGUGGCGGCAAAAAUAAACAAUGCAGAAAUGCCAAUAAAACAAAAAGUAAAGCCGCAAGGUAGAAACAAAACAAAAGGCAAAGAUUUUUUUCGAGUGUGUGUACGUGUGUGUGUGUGUAUUUGGGUGUGUGUGAACCUACCUCAAGUCUAAUUAAAUUAUGCCAAGGAAAUGUAAAAAGAAAGAAAAAGCACUAGCCAAAAAGAAACAACAACUUUGGGAAGAAGAAGUUGUGGAAUUUGUGGACGAAGGGGUAGUAAAAUGAAGAAGGAGAGGAAGCAACAGCAACUUGAAUGAAAAGUAGCAUAUUUUAACAUACGUAAGUUUUCCAGCAAUAUUCUUAAAACGUUUAUUUUUGAACACUUAUAAAGUAUGUAGGUAAAUCACUAACGGUGCAUUUUUAUUGCGUAUUACACUACAUGCGACAAUACAUGUAACACAUGCACACAUAUGUAUGCAUGUAUGUACUUAUGUGCAUACAUAUGUAUGUAUGAAUUCGAAAGAAACAAGUGAUGGAAUUUUGCGCCCUUCUGCGACUAUUAAAUCAUCAGGUGGUUGCGACGCAAAGUUCUUCCCGCUUUCGUCACCCUGCUGAUUUCGUUACGUUUCGCUUUCCAUUGCACCAAUUUCCAUUGCACCUUUUUUGCGCGUGCAUCUGCCCUCUCUUUCGCACCUUUGCACGCUACGGAUUUUGUUUUGAUUUCGCAACCAGCGACCCAGCAGGAAAAUUCCAGUUGAAAACUCGCCCAAGAACUACUCUGCAAUUUGCACUUGAAAUUAUUAUUUAAUUAUUAUUGUUAAAUGCUCCUGUCAGCACAAUGCCAAUUAAGUAACGCAACGGGUAUUUCCACUUAAGUAUUUAUGAGCACCACAAACAAAAGUUCCCUGCCAGUGCCAAUACCCUCCUUCUCCUACAGGGUACAACUGCGUUACAGACAAAAAGAAAUUGGCGCGCAUUUUGUGAGCUUUUUUUCGCGCUGCAUUCUUCCGCUGUCGAAGUUCGAUUUAAAUAAAUUUUGAAAUAUUUUCGUAUUAAGAUGUUUGCGCAAUUCUUUUUUACGUGUGCUGCUUGUUUUGUGUAAUAAUACUACACUACUUUCUGCACCGUUUACGUUCGCGCUAAAAUGGAAAGUGUGCAUGGGGAGAUAAAACAACUGCGUAAAUAAUGGCAACAAGUGCCUGCCGUGCUGAGUUCCCAUAUCAAGUUUGUCCAGAAUUUGCCAAGCUUUCAAAAAAUCGACGUAACGUAACCGAAUAACCUCGCGUCGGGCUCGUAAAAAUGAUAGGCGAUGACAGUGACGACACCGAGUCGCCUGAAUCGACAGUUAUCGAAAAUAUCGGAAUUAAUGUGUCGAUAGAUUAGAAAAAGAUAAGAAAGAAUGCGUGGAAGGCGAAGAAACACCAAAGCAACUUAAGAUGUAUGUACAUGUGGAUACCACAGUGUAGCUUCAUUUAUGUAUGUAUGUAAGCAAGUUACAUAAAUGUGUACAUACGGCUGUACGAUCUUAUCGACAGUAUUGCUAAUUCUGGAUUGAGGUUCAUCCCAUCCCCAGGCGCAGUUGACUUGGCAUUUAACGGUCUACACGUGCAGCAACAAUGUAACUUUGACGCCGGUGUCGACAGGUGUACUCGGCGUAAUUGUAUUGGCAAUUCAAAUGCGAUAAAGCCGGGGUGCCUCGAGUGCCAGUUAUGCUCGCCGUAGGCCAGAAACUAUCGCCCCCCAUUGAUAACGCAAAUAAUCUUAAAUUGCAUUGCGCACUAGUCUUCCUUUUGCAACAAAGUCGCUAUCUCCUGCUUCUUAUUUUUCUCCGCUACGUUACGUUUAGUAGUGGGAUUUUACUACGUGAAUACUGCGUAAAAUAACAAUUUUUUUUUUAAGUGCUAUUGGAAUUGUGAGUAUUUUUAUUACAUACGUUUCAGUAAUAUUAUAAGGCUAGUUUUCACUUAAAUAAAGAGGUAUGGGAUUACAUAUAUAUAUAAUAUUAUAUUAUAAUAUUAUUAGGCUAGUUUUCACUUAAAUAUGCAUCUAAACUCGGUUUUUGCAAGGUGUACCUACAUGUUUAUAUUAUUUAUUUGCCAUUACCGCUUUUUGGCGCUAACUAUUUAGACGCCUUUCGUAUCAGAAGAUAACGCAUGUGCAAACCUUCAAUUAUAAAUUAUUGGAGGAGCUCAAUACUCGAGUAUUUUGGCACAACUGAUUCAUAGGCGUAAUUGAACACACACUUGAAGGCCACGAUCGUAAUUUGAGGAUUAUCGUGAAUGAUUUCCAAUCUGAUAUAAAUAGAAGUAUUUAUUCUAUUUAUCAUUGAUUUUUUGGACCAAACACUUCUUUAAUAAUCUAGGAAUUUGAAAAGAGGAAAGGGAUGUUCAAUAAGUUUAUGAAGUAUGUAUGUACUUUUAUGGAUCUACUUAUUUAAUACAUACAUACAUACAUAUGUAUGUUCAUACUUAGAUAUGUGUUAGGUUUGGCAGUCCAGUUUCUCAUUUUUAAUGCUAAUUGUUCGUUACAACUCUAUUCUCGUCAUUCUAUUUGACUCCUAUUCCCCUUUGAUUUAUGUUCUUUUCUUACAGAUGGCUUCGUUGUCUUCUUCCUCUUUAUCUUUAUCUUCGCUGUCGAUUUUCUUCGCCGUUGACACAUUUUGCAUGUGGAUUUACGCCCAGAGGUGUAAAGACAAAAAAAAUAAAGGAAGGCGAAGACAGAAAAGGCAAGAAAACGGCAGCUGCAAAAACAACAAAAAAGCUCCGAAGAAAGAAGACGCCGGUACAGUUGCGCUCACACACACUCACAUGCUCACACAACAAAUUCGCCAAGAGCGUAAAACGCAAAAAAGUACAGCGUGGCGCUUUUAUAACGGCACACAAAAAAAAUCAAAACAAUGCAAAAGCAAAACAGGCGCAGCACUCAAAACAAAUCGAAGAGUUACGAGCACAAGAGAACAAAUUGAGUGAGUUUUUCUUUUCGCUUUUUGUUGCAGCAACACUGUGGCCAAGACGAAAGUGAAUGUUGCCGAAACACUGUUGCUAAGAAAUGUUGACGGGGUAAAGUGCCUGCCAAAUACUGGACAGAUACCAGGCAGAUUACAGCCCGAUGUCCUGCGGUGAGGCCCCUUGAGAUUCUGAAUAUUCUCCGUAUAUCAGGCUGCUAAUUAAGGUCACACUUCGCUGAAGAUGACCGCAAUAUUUGUUGGAACGGGGAUUGCCAUUGCAAUUGGGUUUUCCUUGAUGUAACACCCGUCUUGACAACUUAAGUAAGACGACAUCGACACCCCAGGAAGAAGUCACACAAAAAAAACACAAACAAGGAUAACAGAAAAAAUCAGCGAUUAAUAGGGGACAACGGAAAUUUCAGGUAACUAUGAUAAAUAAUCUAAAUCUAAACUCCCUUAAUUGGCAAAAGAUGUGGACACAGAGGGGCUCAUUGAGCUGGCAUUGUUAUAAGGCAAGAGUUUAUUUACGAUAUAAAGAUAUUGAUAUUAUCCAAGAUUUUGAAACAUCGCAAUUAUAUACGCAUUUUUAAACCAAAUAUUUAAUUAUUAUUUAUCCUUAUUCUUUUGUGAUUUACCCAACAAGAGGAACUUGUUUCAGGAAGGAAUUCCUCAAUCAGUCGAAUUGCGUGCGUCAUUUUUGAGCAAUCUGCGGAAUGAGAUUUAUUGUUUAACUGUUUUCGCCAACUAAUUUUUCGGCAAUCGUACUCCAUAAAAGAUGAUUAUGAUUAGGGGAUCUUUUGAUGUGUGCGGUGGACUAAGGGCCCCCGAUCACUUUGAUGGCCAACUAGUAGCCAUCUGGAGCAGGACACACGCACGAUGAAAGAAGCAAUUUGCCCAAAAACAGUACGUACAAGGAGUAUGGGUAUGGGUAUGGGUAUAGGUAUGGGUAUGGGUAUAGGUGUGGGUAUAGGUGUGGGUAUGGGUAUGACCAUCAUAAUUUCGGUGCACGAAACGAUCCGACAUCCAAUAAACGUCAAUCGGGUUCGGUUCCAUGAUUAGCGGGUCUGGAAAGGAUGUCUGGACUCUCUGGUCGCUUUCGGGGGACCCCUGAAAACCCAAACUCGUUUCCAUCUGCGGGCGACAGCUGUUGUUGUCGUCGUCACUCGGUACGGUAAUUGCCAAGUGCCAGGGCCUACUGUACUUGUGCCAAAAUUAACAGGGGCGGUUGCCAUUUUGCAGAUCACAGUUGGCAGUUGGUAUAUACUUUAAGAUUUAGCAUUAAAUUAUGUCUGAAACUAUUGAAAACACAAAACACAGUUGGGCUCUCACAAAAUUACUAAACUCAAUUGUUGCAUCAGAGUUUAGCCAACGCAGGGAAACAAGAUGGAUAUGAAUAGUAUUUAAGGAUUUUCACAUAUUAUUAGGUCACUUGUUUUGGGCGCACAUUGGGUGAACAAACUGUAGCACUGUGCUCCGUACUUGGCAUCCUGGACAACAAGGCAACAAGGCAACAAUAGGAACUGGUAUCCUUACAGAUGGUUAUUAACCCAGACGGCUCGUCUGUGUGAUGUUGUUCCUCAUUUCAUUUGUUGUUUGUCUAAAACAGGAUCGUCGACUCAAAGGCCUCCUCUUGUUACCAGUUUCCAAGAUCUUGUAUAUUUUUGUGCUUUUGUUUUGAUUCUCGUUUCUAUACGUCGGCCACGCCUCCUGAAGCUCAAAGUUCCCCUUCUUCCAGGCUCUGCUGUACUGACUCAUCGGCGCAGACAGACGGGUUCAACUGUACUUGCCGCUGACGCUAUAAAUUAAAAUUAUGUUGUAAGCACACAGCCACGCAAGCGCACACGCACUCGCAAAAAAAGCAGAAGAAAAAAAAUAAUAAAGCAGACAACAGAGUCCGGUUCCAUGGCAAAAAAAAAAAAUGAAAAGAAAAGAAAAGAAUAUUACGAAACUAAAGAAAAGAAAUGCAAACACAACUGAAAGCUUAACCAAAGCAAGCUGCGAAAUCUUGAGUCCCAUUUCCAAAUACCCUAUGAAAACAAAAUAAUUACUUUGAGUUCUUUAAGAUAUUGAAAAUCGUCUGAAAAAGUACCUUUAAAAAUUGUAAAAUAACUCUUUCGACCACAUUUAAUUGUUGUUUAUUGUUUAAAUUGAUACUUAGGGUAAUGCUCAAUCCCCAAGUUUGAAAACAGCAAAGAAAGCUGAAGCAGAUCAAAAGGAAGAAGACGAUGACUGCAUCGCCGCUGAAAAUUGCAGCUUGCAAUAUUAACAUGUUUUAUGUGCCACAGAUCCGAUCCGAUAUCAUCCAAACCGAUCGAAGCUUAAGUCGCGAACUAAGUUACACAGAAACAACAUAAGUUCAGAAGUUCGAUCGGAUGUGAAAAAAUCAUCUUUAUAAAAUAAAUGUUGCCGCCAUAAAGUGUUUCUUGAACACAUCAAAAAUUCCGAAACAUGUUCAAAACGAAAUUGUCAUAAGAUGUCUGUCUAAUAUUUUUCUCUGUGUUGCCGAGCUUUAGACUUCAUUUAAAUCAAGGCAGAUCGUUCGUGUUCCCUUUUGAUCUGGGCGGCCAGGGGGUUAAGGGAGUGCCCCGCGUUUUCCCUUUUUAUUAAGGAAGUCGUCUGGUCUCCUGCGGAAGGAAGUCGCGCCUGUUCCGCAAUUUACUUCGGAUAAAAAGUUUCACAUUAAAAAAGAUUCGCAUGGCAUGAAUGCAAAUUAUCGCAGAAAUGUUAUUGAACUUUUCCAAAUGAAAAAAAAAUGAGCUUCGAAAGGAGCUACACACAUACAUACCUACAUACAUGUAUUGAGAGAGGAUCAGAAGGAGUCUGUUGAAGCCAUAUAUCUAUUGGUAUCUGUUCCAUGUGUCGGCAAUAACACUGUUUUCUCGUCGUUUUCGUUUUUAAUGGUUUUGAUGCUCCUGAAACGCCUACAAGUGUGUAGGGGUACUGACAGAAACGCGUUUAAUUGCUUUAUUCUUCUGACCAGACCAAACCAGGCAUAUGGAAAUGGAGAUGGAGAUCAGUACUCCAUUUCCGUAAUUUAUUGCAAACAAAUGAGAAGUAUCCACUUACAGGGCAUCCAAUUGCUGUUUCGAUUGCCCAUGCCCCAUGCCCUUGAAAAUAUUGCGAGAGACCCAUUGGGAAGUCACAGAUGAUUUGAUCUUUCCGUUGGUGUUGUAUGUGCGGGUCGAAUUCUCUGAGGCGACGCUGCAGCCAUUCCCAAUGACUUAAGGACGAAAACGAUGUGUGUACUUUGUGGAACAGCCAUUACACAUGUAAAUCGGGAA